Megalopta genalis is the source of this 1123-nucleotide long non-coding RNA. RefSeq lists it as uncharacterized. NCBI's taxonomy places the organism in Eukaryota, Metazoa, Arthropoda, Insecta, Hymenoptera, Halictidae. The record is from RefSeq and is a predicted model, not a curated record.
ACUAUCCUAGCGGGCCCUUGCCUUAGACGUGGGGGUAGUAAGGACGAAGUCUCUCUAUAUAUAGGGAUCGAGGCGGAUCGGUUACUAGCCGGAAGAGGAGCCCUCUGCUGGCGUUUAAAGAUAUUCGGAGAAAACUGGUUGUGCCAAUAUACUUUUUUGACCCACUGUACAUCGUUUGGACAUUACGCACGCAUUAAUUGCGUUAGAAACUGUAACGCAUUCCACAUUUAUUAACUAGUGCGUCCAGAUUAACUGUGGCAUUAAAUCGUAAUGCAUUUCCGAGCGAGGAUUACAAUCGUAAAUCUAAUUAGGCGUGCACUUGCGUGACAGCGUGGAAAUUUGAUACAACGAAAGACGGAAUCGAUUCUAUAAAUAACUGCAGUGUUCUGUACUUUCUUGAUUCCAUUAAUAGUGGGAGAAUGCAUCACGCGAUCUUCUCUCACCCUGCACAAUGCUGUAUUUGUUGCUGUAUCGGGUACUAUGUUGAACUGGAAAUUGAAUUUGUAACAGGAAAAAUGGAUAGCAAAAUGUAUUUGGAAAUAAUUAACUCAAGCCGAGCACGAAGGACUCAAUCCCGCAGUCAUUGACGUGGACAUUCAACAAGUGGUCGACGAUUCAUCAAAGACAGCAUAAACUCCAAGGACUCCGUACGUACGCUAAUUUGACAGCGCCUGCUUCGCGAAACGACGGAGGACUUUCUAAACCGAUUCGUUAGAACGAAGACGCAGUAAACAAUUUUAUCGAAGAUAAUAUUCAUUCAACUGACAUCGUAUUGCGCGUAUAAAGAAUUGAUAGUUUAUGACCGUUUGAUGUCUUAGAGGUGACUAAUAGAGAAGUAUAAACGCUGCUUGAUUGCGGAAGCUACUUAAUCCGAAUCAUAAAUACAAGUCUGAUGUCUAUACUAGCUGACCAUCGGUAUUGAAACUUCGUAUGCACGUUGCCUUGUCAAAAUUAAUUUCUGAAACGGUCGAUGAACUGAUAACCGCGAACUGGUAUAUUUUAGGUAACAGGUAUUACAACGAAUAGAAAUUAUUCGUACACCUUUUAACACGGAAUAGCCUUUUUAUAAUUGGGUCAAGCGGCUGAGUUUGUUUAAAAUUAUUAGAGGGAUUAGUUUACUAGG